Molecule: transfer RNA, 66 nt
Filed under: Silvestritermes holmgreni
Lineage: Eukaryota; Metazoa; Arthropoda; Insecta; Blattodea; Termitidae
Also listed under: 1 other name
Description: tRNA-Asn
Source: RNAcentral
UUAAUCGAAACCAAAAAAGAGGUAUAUUAUUGUUAAUAAUAAAAUUGAAUUGAAAUUCCGGUUAAG